This 366-nucleotide unclassified non-coding RNA is filed under the name Hevea brasiliensis (rubber tree). Lineage: Eukaryota; Viridiplantae; Streptophyta; Magnoliopsida; Malpighiales; Euphorbiaceae. The record is from RNAcentral.
AUGCAAAUCAAAGACUCAUAUUGAUUCCGCCCAAGCGAGUCACCCACAAACAUCACCGUUUUCCCUCUCAUUUUUUCCAGAAAUUCAAGCCCGUUGAACCUUGGGAGUUCACAAUUGAGAGGCUGCCAUCUAUAUUUGAGGUAAUCGGAGUCCGGCCGCCCGUACAUUUGGCAAUUGAAUUGAGGGUCAAUAAAGGGACAAUUAGAAGAUUCGUAAAGAGGGUAAGUGUCAUCCUUAACCCAAGUGCCCACAAACAAUGCACAAGUGCUCUGAUUAGCUUGCAACAUUGGUCUUCUAUUGUGCUGCUUCUUAUGGUGGUUCCUUAAGCUCAUUAUCAAAGCUGAAGAAGCAAUCUGCAUUUCUAAC